UACGGGGGGGGCAAGCGUUGUUCGGAAUUACUGGGCGUAAAGGGCGCGUAGGCGGUUCGCUAAGUCGGAUGUGAAAACUCUGGGCUCAACCCAGAGCCUGCAUCCGAAACUGGCGGGCUAGAGUUCUGGAGGGGGUAGCGGAAUUCCUGGUGUAGCGGUGAAAUGCGUAGAUAUCAGGAGGAACACCGGUGGCGAAGGCGGCUCACUGGCUCAUUACUGACGCUCAGGCGCGACAGCGUGGGGAUCAAACAGG
RNAcentral lists this ribosomal RNA (253 nucleotides) under uncultured bacterium. RNAcentral's name for it is "partial 16S ribosomal RNA". It matches the Rfam family "Bacterial small subunit ribosomal RNA", at positions 524 to 776 of the family's 1533-position model. The record is from RNAcentral.